This 164-nucleotide unclassified non-coding RNA is filed under the name uncultured Penicillium. Its description in RNAcentral is "sequence contains ITS2". The record is from RNAcentral. Lineage: Eukaryota; Fungi; Ascomycota; Eurotiomycetes; Eurotiales; Aspergillaceae.
CUGCCCUCAAGCACGGCUUGUGUGUUGGGCCCCCGUCCCCUCUCCCGGGGGACGGGCCCGAAAGGCAGCGGCGGCACCGCGUCCGGUCCUCGAGCGUAUGGGGCUUUGUCACCCGCUCUGUAGGCCCGGCCGGCGCCUGCCGACCACCAUCAAUCUUUUUCAGG